RNAcentral lists this transfer RNA (81 nucleotides) under Pythium insidiosum. RNAcentral's name for it is "tRNA-Ser". It matches the Rfam family "tRNA". Rfam says of the family: Transfer RNA (tRNA) molecules are approximately 80 nucleotides in length. Their secondary structure includes four short double-helical elements and three loops (D, anti-codon, and T loops). Further hydrogen bonds mediate the characteristic L-shaped molecular structure. tRNAs have two regions of fundamental functional importance: the anti-codon, which is responsible for specific mRNA codon recognition, and the 3' end, to which the tRNAs corresponding amino acid is attached (by aminoacyl-tRNA synthetases). tRNAs cope with the degeneracy of the genetic code in two manners: having more than one tRNA (with a specific anti-codon) for a particular amino acid; and 'wobble' base-pairing, i.e. permitting non-standard base-pairing at the 3rd anti-codon position. The record is from RNAcentral. Lineage: Eukaryota; Oomycota; Peronosporomycetes; Pythiales; Pythiaceae.
GACAGCUUGGCGAGUGGUUAAGGCGAUGGACUUGAAAUCCAUUGGGGUAACCUGCGUGAGUUCCAAAUCUCACAGCUGUCG